CACGGAGGGGGCUAGCGUUGUUCGGAAUUACUGGGCGUAAAGCGCACGUAGGCGGUUUUGUAAGUUAGAGGUGAAAGCCUGGGGCUCAACUCCAGAAUAGCCUUUAAGACUGCAUCACUUGAACACGGGAGAGGUGAGUGGAAUUCCGAGUGUAGAGGUGAAAUUCGUAGAUAUUCGGAAGAACACCAGUGGCGAAGGCGGCUCACUGGACCGUUGUUGACGCUGAGGUGCGAAAGCGUGGGGAGCAAACAGG
This 253-nucleotide ribosomal RNA is filed under the name uncultured bacterium. RNAcentral's name for it is "partial 16S ribosomal RNA". It matches the Rfam family "Bacterial small subunit ribosomal RNA", at positions 524 to 776 of the family's 1533-position model. The record is from RNAcentral.